GAUGAACGCUGGCGGCGUGCCUAAUACAUGCAAGUCGAGCGAACAGAUGAGGAGCUUGCUCCUCUGACGUUAGCGGCGGACGGGUGAGUAACACGUGGAUAACCUACCUAUAAGACUGGGAUAACUUCGGGAAACCGGCGCUAAUACCGGAUAAUAUAUUGAACCGCAUGGUUCAAUAGUGAAAGACGGCUUUUCUGUCACUUCUAGCUGGAUCCGCGCCGCAUUAGCUAGUUGGUAAGGUAACGGCUUACCACGGCAACGAUGCGUAGCCGACCGGAGGGGGUGAUCGGCCGCACGGGAGGUGGACCGGGGUCCAGAGGCCUGAGGGAGGGAGCAGUAGGGUAUCUUCCGCAGUGGGCGAAAGCCUGACGGAGCGACGCCGCGUGAGAGAUGAAGGUCUUCGGAUCGUAAUACUCUGUUAUUGGGGAAGAACAGAUGUGUAAGUAACUAUGCACGUCGUGACGGUACCUGAUCAGAAAGCCACGGCUAACUACGUG
RNAcentral lists this ribosomal RNA (497 nucleotides) under uncultured bacterium. RNAcentral describes it as "partial 16S ribosomal RNA". It matches the Rfam family "Bacterial small subunit ribosomal RNA", at positions 28 to 507 of the family's 1533-position model. The record is from RNAcentral.